AUGAGGAGAAAACUGGGGGCUCUGCUGGGUCUUCUGUUGGUCCAGAUUUUCAGAGUGAGGGGGAUGCAGGUUCAACAGAGUCCUUCAAUCUUGACAGCCCAGGAGGGAGUCAACUAUUCCCUGACCUGCAAUUUCUCCACCACAGUGAACAAUGUGCAGUGGUUCCGACAGAAUCCUGGGAGCGGCCUCGUCAAUCUGUUCUUCAUAGCUUCAGGGACAAAACAGAACGGAAGGUUGAAGGCAACAAUCAAUUCUCAGGAGCGCUACAGCACCCUCCACGUCACGACCUCCCAACUGGAAGACUCAGGCACCUACCUCUGUGCAGCAGAGACACAGUGCUCCCAGGGCGCCUGCUGCCUGGACCCAAACUGCAGCUGGGCCUGCAGCUAUGGACAACCUGUUAAGGAAGGUGAUGAACAAAGGGAGAGCAGUUCAAACAUUUCACCAAAAAUAGUCAAUGAGUUUAGGAAACUGAAGGGGCUCUUUGUCCCCCAUACCACUGACAGUUCAGAAGAUUUUUCUGUGGUGACUCUUUGA
Non-coding RNA from Lepus europaeus (European hare), 537 nucleotides. Lineage: Eukaryota; Metazoa; Chordata; Mammalia; Lagomorpha; Leporidae. The record is from the annotation of a RefSeq genome assembly.